UCUGCAACCAAGGACACUUUUAGCCUCAUUUCCUGAUCUUACAGCCUCACCUGCGGUGCUGCUGAGCGGCUGGGCAGGAAUGCAGCACACAGGACUUGCUCUCGUGGCCUUGGCUGCCUGUGUGGCUCUUCAUCCCUCGGAAGCUAUACUUCCCAUUGCCUCCAGCUGCUGCACUGAGGUUUCACAUCAUAUUUCCAGAAGGCUUCUAGAAAGAGUGAAUACAUGUCGCCUUCAGAGAGCUGAUGGGGAUUGUGACUUGGCUGCUGUCAUCCUUCAUGUCAAGCGCAGAAGAAUCUGUGUCAGCCCUCACAAUCAUCUUAUUAAGCAGUGGAUGAAAGAACAAGCAGCCAAGAAAGAUGCUAAAGGCAACAUUUGCCAUAAGAAGAAACAUCACAGCAAGAGGAACAGUAAAGGGGCACAUCAGGAGAAGCAUGAAACACAUGGCCAUAAAACUCCUUAUUAGAGAGGGUACAGAUGAAGCUACACAGACAGUCCUGGCUGAACUUGGCCAUGGUUGAUUAUAUUUCAGAGACUAGGCCAGAACCUGUGCCACAUUCUGGGUUUAUCUCUUCCCUCAGAAUCACUUUCAGAUGUCACAUUUUUUGCUCAGCAGUGGGCCCUAGAAGGUGUGGACCUGGAGGUGGGGCAGAAGAGGAGGAAUUCAGGUAAAGAUCUGUGCAUCUGGUGCUCCACAAAGGGCCAGGGGAAGCCUGCUGACAGUUGGGUCUAGAAUUAAAAUGUUGCAACUGGCAUUGGUGCACUGAUAGUGGCAACAACCACUUUCCUAGAUUAAAAGAGGCUCCAUCCUGAUUGUAUUGAGUUUUGUGCUCUUAGGCAGUGGAGGAAACUGCACACUAUUUAUAGUCUUUGUUUUGCAAAAUCUCCCUCACCAAGUUCUUUUCAACAUAAAGGCAGGUUUUGUCAAAAAAUACAGCAUUCUUCCACUCAACCCCAUCAUGCUUUUUAAAGGAUAGUGUGAUAAAACAGAUAAACCUGAGGAAAAUGAUUCCUAAAUGUCCUAGUCUGUGACAGCUGCUAUAACAAAACACUACAUACUGGGUGACUUAAAAGCAGCAGACAUUCAUUUCCCACAGUUCUGGAGGCUGGGAAGUCCAGGAUCAGGUGUUGGCAGAUUCAGUGGCGUGGCUGUCUUUUGGGUUGGAGACUGCUGACUUCUCCCUGUGUCCUCACAUGGCGGGAAGGACUAUGGAGUCCUCUGGAACCUCUUUUAUAGCACACAUGCCACUCAUGAGCACUCCACCUUCCCUACAAAAGCACAUCCCAAAGGCCCCAUCUACUAAUACCAUCACCUUUGGGGGUUAGGAUUUCCACAUACGAGUUUUAUGUGGUGGACCAUAGCACUAAAUAUUCUUUUUUUCCCCUUUUUUCUUUUUACGGCCACACCUGCG
Molecule: RNA transcript, 1409 nt
Organism: Phacochoerus africanus (Common warthog)
Lineage: Eukaryota; Metazoa; Chordata; Mammalia; Artiodactyla; Suidae
Gene: CCL28
Gene name: C-C motif chemokine ligand 28
Exons: 5
Source: RefSeq, a predicted model, not a curated record